RNAcentral lists this ribosomal RNA (424 nucleotides) under uncultured bacterium. RNAcentral describes it as "bacterial SSU rRNA". It matches the Rfam family "Bacterial small subunit ribosomal RNA", at positions 355 to 776 of the family's 1533-position model. The record is from RNAcentral.
UAAGGAAUAUUGGUCAAUGGAGGGAACUCUGAACCAGCCAUGCCGCGUGCAGGAAGACAGCCCUCUGGGUCGUAAACUGCUUUUAUUCGGGAAUAAACCUACUUACGUGUAAGUAGCUGAAUGUACCGAAGGAAUAAGGAUCGGCUAACUCCGUGCCAGCAGCCGCGGUAAUACGGAGGAUCCAAGCGUUAUCCGGAUUUAUUGGGUUUAAAGGGUGCGUAGGCGGCCUGUUAAGUCAGGGGUGAAAGACGGUAGCUCAACUAUCGCAGUGCCCUUGAUACUGAUGGGCUUGAAUGGACUAGAGGUAGGCGGAAUGUGACAAGUAGCGGUGAAAUGCAUAGAUAUGUCACAGAACACCGAUUGCGAAGGCAGCUUACUAUGGUCUUAUUGACGCUGAGGCACGAAAGCGUGGGGAUCAAACAGG